Non-coding RNA from Cinara cedri, 792 nucleotides. The record is from the annotation of a GenBank genome assembly. Lineage: Eukaryota; Metazoa; Arthropoda; Insecta; Hemiptera; Aphididae.
GAAGUGUUAAGGUUUUUAUUAUCUCAUGAAAUCAAUUUACAAAUCUAUUUCAUCAUCAUUAAAUUGCGAAAACAUUGAUUUGUCGGUUAGUGUGUUUACCGCUGGAUUCUGGUCAAUACCAGCAACUACUCUAAAUUGCAAUGUAUUCAAUAUAGUUUUAUUGAAAUUUGAUGAAUCUCGACCGGUUUAUUCGGGCAAACAUAAAGGUGUCAACUUCGGCUAUGAUUGCGACUGGGUUAAGCAGACAUGACUAGAGUUUUCAAUGAUACCACCAAAAAUAAUAAUUCAACGUCUACUUAAUCUCCAAUAGCAGCAGUUUUGCAGUUAUUUCAACAUCUUCAAUUUUUGAAACGACUGUGAAUUAUAGUAGAAAUUCAUCAUCUGUACACAAUUAUGUCUUCUAAGUAUCAACUUGAGACAAGUUGACACUUAGAAGACAUAGUCGAUACCCGAAUUAUGAAUUAUUAUUUAUCACUACAAUUCAAAAUAGUUUCAGAAUUUAAAAUUGAAAACGCAAUAUUGCUCGAUUUGACAUUACAAUAGAAAUUGAACUACUAUCCCUAUCAACUAUCAUUGAAAAUUGCAGUUAUGUCUGCUAAACUACUUGUGACUGAAGUCAAAGUUGACGUCCUAUGUGUUUGCCCGAAUACAACGUUCGAAAUUCAUCAAAUUCCAAUCACGCUUUAAUGGGUAUAUUAUAAUUUGGAGUUGUGGCUGGCUUUUACCAGAAUCCAAUAGCUAACACACGUACCAUUAAAUCAAUGUUGUUGCAAUUUAUUGAUGGUAAAACAG